AUGCAUUUUUUUUACUUAUAAAGCGAACAUAAAUAGUCUAUUUAUUACAUGAAACAUAAGAAAAAUAUGGCUCAAACUCUCAUAUCUGUUUUUGCUUUGAUCUUAAUUCUUUCUCCAUUUCUUGUUGUAACCGAUCGGGAUCCCAUUUACUGCAAAUCUGAUGCAGAUUGUCCAAAAGAGUCAUAUCCUUUGUUUGUGAAGUGCGUUGAUAACUUUUGCGACUUCAUAAUUGUAUAAAAAUUAAGAUUAAAAAUAAUUAUAUCACCUUUAAAUGUAUAAUUCUAUGUGUACUUCAUAAUGUUAUAAUUUUAUAAUUUACUUUAAAUUUUUAUUAAAUUUUUUGGCCUUUAAUAUUUUAUGAACAAGAUUAAAAGUGCAUAAUUAAAUUAUAUAUGCAA
Medicago truncatula (barrel medic) is the source of this 398-nucleotide long non-coding RNA. RefSeq lists it as uncharacterized. The transcript is spliced from 2 exons. Lineage: Eukaryota; Viridiplantae; Streptophyta; Magnoliopsida; Fabales; Fabaceae. The record is from RefSeq and is a predicted model, not a curated record.